GCAAAACAGGGUAAGCACAAUGAACAUAUCGACAUCUGCCCUCCGAAGGCAAAGGUCACACGUUCGAAUCGUGUCGGGUGCGCCA
This 85-nucleotide transfer RNA is filed under the name Bradyrhizobium sp. ORS 278. Its description in RNAcentral is "tRNA-Ser (CGA) (tRNA-Ser-CGA-2-1)". Lineage: Bacteria; Pseudomonadati; Pseudomonadota; Alphaproteobacteria; Hyphomicrobiales; Nitrobacteraceae. The record is from RNAcentral.